RNAcentral lists this ribosomal RNA (440 nucleotides) under uncultured bacterium. Its description in RNAcentral is "partial 16S ribosomal RNA". It matches the Rfam family "Bacterial small subunit ribosomal RNA", at positions 338 to 795 of the family's 1533-position model. The record is from RNAcentral.
CCUACGGGUGGCAGCAGUGGGGAAUAUUGCACAAUGGGGGGAACCCUGAUGCAGCGACGCCGCGUGAGUGAAGAAGUAUUUCGGUACGUAAAGCUCUAUCAGCAGGGAAGAAGAUGACGGUUCCUGACUAAGAAUCCCCGGCUAACUACGUGCCAGCAGCCGCGGUAAUACGUAGGGGGCAAGCGUUAUCUGGAUGUACUGGGUGUAAAGGGAGCGUAGACGGCAGGACAAGUCUGGAGUGAAAGCCCGGGGCCCAACCCCGGGACUGCUUUGGACACUGCCAUGGUAGAGUGCUGGAGAGGUAAGCGGAAUUCCUAGUGGAGCGGUGAAAUGCGUAGAGAUUAGGAGGAACACCAGUGGCGAAGGCGGCUUACUGGACAGUAACUGACGUUGAGGCUCGAAAGCGUGGGGAGCAAACAGGAUGAGAUACCCGGGUAGUC